RNAcentral lists this ribosomal RNA (332 nucleotides) under uncultured bacterium. RNAcentral describes it as "bacterial SSU rRNA". It matches the Rfam family "Bacterial small subunit ribosomal RNA", at positions 568 to 898 of the family's 1533-position model. The record is from RNAcentral.
CGUGUAGGCGGUCUCUUAAGUCUGAUGUGAAAGCCCGGGGCUCACCCCCGGAAGUGCAUCGGAUACUGGGAGACUCGAGUACCGGAGAGGAGGGUGGAAUUCCUGGUGUAGCGGUGAAAUGCGUAGAUAUCAGGAGGAACACCGGUGGCGAAGGCGGCCCUCUGGACGGAUACUGACGCUGAGACGCGAAAGCGUGGGGAGCAAACAGGAUUAGAUACCCUGGUAGUCCACGCUGUAAACGAUGGGCACUAGGUGUUCGGGGUAUUGACCCCCUGAGUGCCGCAGCUAACGCAUUAAGUGCCCCGCCUGGGGACUACGGCCGCAAGGUUAAA